AGGGAUUGCCUUAGUAACGGCGAGUGAAGCGGCAAUAGCUCAAAUUUGAAAGCUGGCCCCUUCGGGGUCCGCGUUGUAAUUUGUAGAGGAUGAUUCGGCGAGGGCUCCCGUCUAAGUCCCUUGGAACAGGGCGUCAUAGAGGGUGAGAAUCCCGUAUGUGAUGGGCUGCCUUAGCCAUGUGAAUCUCCUUCGACGAGUCGAGUUGUUUGGGAAUGCAGCUCUAAAUGGGAGGUAAAUUUCUUCUAAAGCUAAAUACCGGCCAGAGACCGAUAGCGCACAAGUAGAGUGAUCGAAAGAUGAAAAGCACUUUGGAAAGAGAGUUAAAAAGUACGUGAAAUUGUUGAAAGGGAAGCGCUUGCAGCCAGACUUGUCCGCAGUUGCUCAGCUUGUCUCCUGACAGGCGUACUCUUCUGCGGCCAGGCCAGCAUCAGUUCGGGCGGUCGGAUAAAGACCUGGGGAAUGUAGCUCCUCUCGGGGAGUGUUAUAGCCCUGGGUGCAAUGCGGCCAGCCUGGACUGAGGAUCUCGCUUCGGCUAGGAUGCUGGCGUAAUGGCUGUAAGCGGCCCGUCUUGAAACACGGACCAAGGAGUCUAACAUCUAUGCGAGUGUUUGGGUGUCAAACCCAUGCGCGUAAUGAAAGUGAACGGAGGUGGGAACCCUCACGGGUGCACCAUCGACCGAUCCUGAUGUCUUCGGAUGGAUUUGAGUAAGAGCAUAGCUGUUGGGACCCGAAAGAUGGUGAACUAUGCCUGAAUAGGGUGAAGCCAGAGGAAACU
Molecule: ribosomal RNA, 775 nt
Filed under: Neofusicoccum ribis
Lineage: Eukaryota; Fungi; Ascomycota; Dothideomycetes; Botryosphaeriales; Botryosphaeriaceae
Description: eukaryotic LSU rRNA
Rfam family: Eukaryotic large subunit ribosomal RNA
Source: RNAcentral